UACACGUAAUUUUUACAAAAAUUUGAGUAAGACACACAAAAUUCACGUAUUAUACAAAUAAUUCUCACAUGUUAUUGAAUAAGAAUAACAUAUGUUAUAAAAAUUAUUAGAGUGGAAGAUUAAUAUCUACUUUGGAUAUGUUGAAACUAGCAAAUUAAUAUUUAUAAGGUACAAACUAAUGCAACUGGGAGGGUCCUUUUGGAUUUUUUAUUUUUUAUUUCUUUUAAUGAAAUAGUAUAGCCGUGCGGCUAUACUAAGAUUUUUUGAAAAAACAACUUUUGACACGUGGCGCUAAAAGAGAGGGUUCUCACUUUUUUAUUUAAAAAAAAGGUACAGCCCAACGGCUAUACUCCGUGUUUUAAAUUAUUUUUAAAAUUG
Molecule: long non-coding RNA, 378 nt
Filed under: Prunus persica (peach)
Lineage: Eukaryota; Viridiplantae; Streptophyta; Magnoliopsida; Rosales; Rosaceae
Description: long non-coding RNA (PPER_LNC008626)
Source: RNAcentral